GGGAAUAUUGCACAAUGGGCGAAAGCCUGAUGCAGCGACGCCGCGUGAGGGAUGACUGCCUUCGGGUUGUAAACCUCUUUCAGCGGGGACGAAGCGAAAGUGACGGUACCCGCCGAAGAAGCACCGGCCAACUACGUGCCAGCAGCCGCGGUAAUACGUAGGGUGCGAGCGUUGUCCGGAAUUAUUGGGCGUAAAGGGCUCGUAGGCGGUUUGUCACGUCGGGAGUGAAAACUCAGGGCUCAACCCUGAGCCUGCUUCCGAUACGGGCAGACUAGAGGUAUGCAGGGGAGAACGGAAUUCCUGGUGUAGCGGUGAAAUGCGCAGAUAUCAGGAGGAACACCGGUGGCGAAGGCGGUUCUCUGGGCAUUACCUGACGCUGAGGAGCGAAAGUGUGGGGAGCGAA
Molecule: ribosomal RNA, 403 nt
Filed under: uncultured bacterium
Lineage: Bacteria
Description: bacterial SSU rRNA
Rfam family: Bacterial small subunit ribosomal RNA
Source: RNAcentral